UUCUUCUUUACCUAACUUCAAAAAUCAAUUCAAAAGUUUUGAAAAAGCAAAAAACACAGCCAUUAUAAAACUUCCUCAGAAUCAGCAGGAGAUUGAGGAACUUAUAGAUCUUCAAUCUUCACGUUUUCUUUCUUCUAUCGUUUGCAACAACUUUCUCAUCCUUAUUUUUCCGGAAACAUGGAUGCGGAGAUGAAUGGUGCUGCACAUAAUGCUAGAGAACAAUUUCGCCCAACCCCAAAGUUGAACCAAAGGAUAAUUUCAUCAAUGUCAAGGAGAUCGGUUGCUGCCCAUCCUUGGCAUGACCUCGAGAUUGGACCCGAUGCACCAGAAACUUUUAAUUGUGUUGUUGAAAUAGCUAAAGGAAGCAAAGUCAAGUAUGAGCUUGAUAAGAAGACUGGGCUUAUUAAAGUUGAUAGAAUUUUAUAUUCAUCUGUGGUUUAUCCCCACAACUAUGGUUUCAUUCCAAGAACAUUGUGUGAAGAUGGUGAUCCCAUGGAUGUGUUAGUGCUUAUGCAGGAACCAGUCAUGCCAGGUUGCUUCCUCCGAGCUCGUGCCAUUGGUCUUAUGCCUAUGAUUGAUCAGGGAGAGAAAGAUGAUAAGAUAAUUGCAGUUUGUGCUGAUGAUCCUGAAGUUAAACACUACACUGACAUUAACCAACUCCCGCCUCAUCGUUUGGCUGAGAUCAGACGCUUUUUUGAGGACUACAAGAAAAACGAGAAUAAAGAGGUAGCAGUAGAUGAGUUUUUACCGGCUAAAACUGCUCACGAGGCCAUCCAGUACUCUAUGGAUCUCUACGCAGAAUACAUUCUACAGACAUUGAGGAGAUGAUUGAUCUGAAACCUUUUUGCUAACCUAUUAUGAAGUAAUCUUGAAGGCCGGGUUAAGGUUACAAAGAUGUUGAAUAGUAGAAAACGGUGUGACCAAGGUUGAAGACGACUCGGCAUUGAGUGCUGUUCUAUGCAUCGUUUUUCCAGAAGAUGGAGCCAAGUCGGCGGCCUGUGAUGAGUGAACCAAAGCCGACUCGGCGCAGUUACCUGAAAUGUGCUGGGUUGUUUGUUUUUCUCGUGAGUUUAGUGGAGCAGUUUCUUUCCUUGUUUUGUGCCGCUGGAAUGUGGGAUUUAUUUUCUCAGAGUUAUUUCCAAAUAAUGUGGCCGGUUAUUUUGUGGAUACUUGGAGCUAAUUUUUUUUUUUAAUUUUGGUUUUAUUAUAUAUACCUCCUCUUAUUAGUACUAGGGUUUAUUUUUUUUAUUCACAAAUAGAGAGAUCACAAGAGAGUCAUUAUUAUGUGAGAGGUAUCUUAAUUCAUCUUGUAAAUUCUUUGCGAUCAUAGUGAAAUUAUUCGAUUUUGAUAUUGGUGGAUGUAGCUAUCACAUUGUUAA
RNA transcript from Amaranthus tricolor (Joseph's coat), 1379 nucleotides. It is a transcript of the gene named soluble inorganic pyrophosphatase 1-like, with no coding region annotated. The record is from RefSeq and is a predicted model, not a curated record. The transcript is spliced from 10 exons. NCBI's taxonomy places the organism in Eukaryota, Viridiplantae, Streptophyta, Magnoliopsida, Caryophyllales, Amaranthaceae.